RNAcentral lists this ribosomal RNA (887 nucleotides) under uncultured bacterium. RNAcentral's name for it is "bacterial SSU rRNA". It matches the Rfam family "Bacterial small subunit ribosomal RNA", at positions 8 to 916 of the family's 1533-position model. The record is from RNAcentral.
AGAGUUUGAUCAUGGCUCAGGAUGAACGCUGGCGGCGUGCCUAAUACAUGCAAGUCGAACGGUGAGGAGCAAUCUUCAUAGUGGCGAACGGGUGAGUAACGCGUUGGUGACCUGCCCCAAAGAAUGGGAUAACAGACCGAAAGGUUUGCUAAUACCAUAUGUGUCGUAGCGGUUUAGAAACGUUACGGGAAAGGGAGAAAUCCGCUUUGGGAGGGGCCUGCGUCCCAUCAGCUAGUUGGUAAGGUAACGGCUUACCAAGGCGAUGACGGGUAGGGGACCUGAGAGGGUGGCCCCCCACAAUGGAACUGAAACACGGUCCAUACACCUACGGGUGGCAGCAGUAGGGAAUAUUGCUUAAUGGGCGCAAGCCUGAAGCAGCAACGCCGCGUGUGCGAUGAAGGCCUUCGGGUCGUAAAGCACUUUUGACUGGGACGAGGAAGGACGGUACCAGUAGAAUAAGCCUCGGCUAACUACGUGCCAGCAGCCGCGGUAAAACGUAGGAGGCGAGCGUUAUCCGGAUUUACUGGGUGUAAAGCGCGUGCAGGCGGUUUGUUAAGUUGGAUGUGAAAGCUCCUGGCUCAACUGGGAGAGGUCGUUCAAGACUGGCAGACUGGAGAGCAGUAGGGGAAGGUGGAAUUCCGGGUGUAGUGGUGAAAUGCGUAGAUAUCCGGAGGAACACCAGUGGCGAAAGCGGCCUUCUGGACUGCAUCUGACGCUCAGACGCGAAAGCUAGGGGAGCAAACGGGAUUAGAGACCCCGGUAGUCCUAGCUGUAAACGAUGUGAACUUGGCGCUGGACGGGUAAAACCGAUCAGUGCCGAAGCAAACGCGAUAAGUUCACCACCUGGGGACUACGGCCGCAAGGUUAAAACUCAAAGGAAUUGACGG